This 23-nucleotide non-coding RNA is filed under the name Arabidopsis thaliana (thale cress). The record is from RNAcentral. Lineage: Eukaryota; Viridiplantae; Streptophyta; Magnoliopsida; Brassicales; Brassicaceae.
UGCAGUGACCCGUUAUCAAAAUU